RNAcentral lists this long non-coding RNA (6652 nucleotides) under Erythranthe guttata (spotted monkey flower). Its description in RNAcentral is "long non-coding RNA (EGUT_LNC003577)". Lineage: Eukaryota; Viridiplantae; Streptophyta; Magnoliopsida; Lamiales; Phrymaceae. The record is from RNAcentral.
AAUUCCACUGUCGAGGUAAAUAAUUAGUUCUUUUUUAUUUAAUUAAUUUGCUCAUCUGGCGUAGUUCUUUUUAUAUUUAAUUAUAGACUUAAGUUUCAAUACAGAUCUAGAGACAUAAAAUUUAUUGUUAUUACUUUGUUCUUAUCUUUGACGAUGGUGUAUUCGCUUAUUAUCUGAUCUAACAUAUCUUAUUUGAUUUUAGUAGAUUCAUAAUGGAUAAGUGUUGGAUGAGUAAACCAAGAUCAACAAAAGAAUAUGAAAAUGGAUUGAAUCAAUUUCUUGAUAUGGCUUUUGCUAAAGUAAGUCUUAGUGGAAAAAUUAUUUGUCCGUGCAAACAGUGUAGGAAUGGGAAAUGGGUAACUAGAGACAUUGCCGAAGAACAUUUGUUAGUUGAUGGCUUUAUGAAAGGUUACACAAAUUGGGUCGCGCAUGGUGAAGACACAUUGUCUGAUCAUGUGGAUUCCCAAAAUUUUAACGAAUUCAAUAUGUUAGGGGAGGGUUAGUACAUGAUGCAUUUGGUGUUAAUGAUACAAACCUAAACAUGGAAGAAGAACCCAACCGGAAAGCUAAGGCUUUUUUUGAGUUGUUAGAUGAUGCUAAAAAGGAAUUGUAUCCAGGAUGUAAACAAUUUUAUAAACUUACAUUUCUCAUACGACUCUUUCACCUGAAGUGUACUGGUAAAUGGUCUAAUAAAUCAUGCACAAUGCUUCUUGAGUUGUUGAAAGAGGCCUUUCCUCAAGCAACUAAGUCACUGCCCAGUUCUUAUUAUGAAGUUCAAAAGAUAAUAAAAAAAUUAGGACUCACUUGUAUUUAAAUACAUGCUUGUCCUAAUGAUUGCAUGUUGUAUUGGAAAGAGCAUGAGAAUGAUAUAGCUUGUCAUGUGUGUAAAACAUCUCGAUACGAUCAAGCUCAAACGAAUGCUGAUGAGGGAGAUUCCUCAAGUAAAUUCAAAAACAUUCCAGCAAAAAUAUAGAGAUAUUUUCCAUUGAAGACUCGUCUUCAAAGAUUCUUUAUGUCAUCUAAAACUUCGUCAUUUAUGAGGUGGCACCAAGAGCUUCGCACUAAGGAUGGUUGCAUGAUACAUCCUAGUGAUUCUCCGCUUUGGCAUGAUUUUGAUCGUCGACAUCGUGACUUUUCAAAAGACUAAAGAAAUGUAAGACUUGGUCUAGCGGCUGAUGGAUUUAGUCCAUUUCGGACCAUGAGUGUUACUCAUAGCAUAUGGCCAGUCAUAUUAACCCCGUACAACUUACCUCCAUGGAUGUGUAUGAAAGAACCUUACUUCUUUUUGACCCUACUCAUUCCUGGUCCAUCAGCUCCCGGCAACAAUAUUGAUGUCUACAUGCAACCACUAAUAGAGGAACUAAAAUAAUUGUGGAAAGGAGUCGAAACAUAUGACUCAUCAAAUAAACAAAAUUUUUGUAUGCGUGCAGCUUUGUUAUGGACUAUUAACGAUUUUCCAGCAUAUGCAAAUUUGUCUGGUUGGAGCAUGAAAGGACAGUUAGCCUGCCCAUCAUGCCACAAAGAUACCUACUUUUAAUAUUUGUACAAUAGCCGUAAAGAGUGUUACAUGGGUCAUCGGAGAUUUCUAAGUGAAUAUCAUGCUUAUAGAAAAGAUAGUAAAUCAUUUGACGGGAAAGAAGAAUAUCGGCGAGCUCCCGUACCAUUAACUAGAAAUAUGAUUUUGGAGGAAUUAAAUGGGUUCAAUAUGAAAUUUGGAAAAAAAGUAAAUGAUAAUCCUGUGUUACCUCACAAUUGGAAAAAGAGAAGCAUUUUUUUUGAUUUGCCGUACUGGAAAGACAAUUUGUUGCGUCAAAAUUUAGACGUAAUGCAUAUAGAGAAGAAUGUAUGUGACAGUGUGCUCGGGACUUUAUUAAAUUUGGAUGGGAAAACAAAAGACCAGGAAAAUUCUCGCCUUGAUUUGCAAGAUAUGGGCAUAAGGCCUGGUCUGCAUCCUAUGCAGCUUGAUUCAGGAAAAAAGUAUUUGCCGGCAACCUCGUUUUCAAUAAGUAAAAAAGAGAAAGUAAUAUUUAUUGAAGUUUUAAAGAACGUGAAAGUACCUGAUGGUUAUGCAUCAAACAUAUCAAGGCACGUGCAGAUUAAACCACCUAAAAUAUCAGGUCUAAAAAGUCAUGACAAUCAUAUUUUAAUGCAACUAGUUCCAAUUGCUUUGCGUAAAGUACUGCCAAAGCAUGUGAGAGCAUCUUUGAUUAGUUUGUGCACUUUUUUUAGAGAACUUUGUUCUAAAGUUCUCAAUGCCCGAGAAUUAAUUUGUUUGGAAAAAGAGGUUGCUAAAACUCUAUGUGAUUUGGAGAAAAAUUUUCCUCCAUGAUUCUUCCAUAUCAUGAUCCAUCUACCUAUUCAUCUAGCAUAUGAGGCUCGAAUUUAGGGACCAGUUCAAUGUCGUUUGAUGUAUCCUAUUGAAAGGUAAAUAUUAUUUUUAGUAUUAUUAUAUUUUAUUUAAAUUGUACAGAAUUUUUUGAUAACUUUCAAAAAAAAUUCAACUAGAUAUCUAUCAACAUUGAAAUCAUAUGUGCGGAAUCGAAGUCAUCCCGAGGGUUUUAUUGCAGAAGCAUACUUGAUCGAAGAAAGUUUGACCUUCUGUUCGAGGUACUUAGAAGAUGUGGAGACCAAAUUCAAUAGGGUUAAAAGAAAUGACGAUAACAAUAGUCAUAUUGCAUCAACCUUCCUGAUUUUCUCUAAUCCUGGGAGCCAUAUUGGGAGGCAAGAGUGUGUUGUUCUGGAAACUGAAACACGUUCGUAGGCACACCAGUAUGUGUUGUUCAAUUGUGAUUCAAUUGAAUCAUUUAUCGAGUAAGAAUAAGUGAUGUUCAAUUAUUUAAUUAUUUAUUAUGAAAUUGUGCUUAUUUGAAUACAAUUCACAUAUAGACAACACAAGAACAUUGUCAAAGAUCAAAAUCCUCGUCUUGGCAAAAGAGAUAUUGAACGAAUUCACAGUCGAACAUUCUCCAAUUGGUUUAUGAAACAUGUAAGUAUAACAUCAUAUCUUCUCAAUAGAUACUUAUGAUUUAUUUUUAUGUUUGUCUAGUAAUAAUCGAUUAUUCUCGCUUUAUUGUACUUAACAGGUUGAGAGAAUGCAUCUUGAGGGAAAUCAGUUGUCAGAGGAGAUAGGGCUCUAGCUCGGGGCCCAAAUGAAGUUGGCAAGAGAUAUACAGGCUUUAUUGUCAAUGGUUAUCGAUUUAAUGUGAAAACCGGAGAAGAUCACAAAAUAGUGGAUUCGUCGUCAAUGCACAAACUAGUAGUUUCACUAGAAAGAAAGAUCAAAAUCCCAUUGUUGGUGAUGUUACUUACUAUGGGGUUCUACAAGAUAUCAUUGAAUUAGAAUAUUUUGGGGGACGCAAAAUUGUAAUGUUUGAGUGCAACUGGGUUUCACCUGGAAGGGCACAAAAGCAUGAUGACAAUGGCUUCACCUUAGUCAAUUUUUCUUAUUCGAGACAACAUGACGAGCCAUUUAUUUUAGCUUCUCAAGCAUAUCAAGUAUUUUAUGUAGAAGAUCCACUAGAAAAGGGAUGGUACAUUGUUCUCACUACUAAAACAAGAGAUUCAUUUGACAUGGAUCCAAUUUUGAAUUUGGAUGGAGUAAUAUUACAUCAAAGUAGUAGUAGUGAUAUCUUAUUGGACCUCCUCAAUGAAGAACCCAAUUGGGUUAGAGAAGAAGUAGACGGGACGAUUGUUUAAAGCCAAGAAGUGUUUUUUUUUUCUUUUUUUAAUCAAGCAAACAGUACUUGAAAUUUAUUAGAUUAAGAUAAUAUUUAGGGAUUUUUUUUUCUCUAUAUUUAGAUAAUAUUUAGAUAAUAUUUAUUAGAUUUGUUUUUUUAUUAAAUUUAUUAUGCACAUCUUUUAUCAGUGUGUUUUUUUUUUUAACUUGAUAACUUAUUUAUUUUUUUUCUACAGGUCAUGACUCCUGCUACUAGACCCAAAAGCAACCGCAUCAAACAUGAUUCAGGUGAUCAAUCCAACCAAUUACCUAAAUUUUGCUCAUGAAAUCGACAGGAUUUAAGCGAUCAACUCAACGAAUUACCUGAAUUUGCCUCAUUUGUACCACGUGGAGGUAGAGGCAAACGCAUCAGAUCUGAUUUAGGUGUCCAAUCUAGUCAAAUGUCUGGAUUUCGCCACCUAGACCAGGUGGAAGUAAAAAUCAGUCGGGUUGUAUUUACUUAUUUAUUUGAGUUAAUGAAAUUUAUAUUUUUGUGGUUUAUGAUUUCAAUAUCUUUACUUUUAGAUCAUACAAGAUUUAAGUUAAUGUGAACAAUAUUAACUCAAAAUAUGUACAUGAAAUCAGAAUAUAGUGGCUUUAAAUCCACAAGAUGCUAAUUGGUGAGAGUGAACAAGGUAGAACUACACGAAGUGCGACUGAAUCUCAAGAUGAUGCUACUGAGCUAGGUAAAUUUUUUUUUCUUGAAUAUAAUUUUCAUAUUAGAAGAGUGAAUUAAAUACAUGUAUUUAAUUAUAGCUGCGGCUAAAAACAAAAGAGUAAGAGAGCCUACUCGUAUGCCUAAAGUUUGGGGGCAACCGGUUGAAGAGCCUAUGGAUAUUUCAUUCAAUGACCUCGGGCAACCAAACGAUGAACAAAAGACAAGCACAUUAUCUCAUUUCUUAGGAACAAUUGCAAGAAACAGAAGAUAUUGCCCGUUACAGUACAAAGAUUGGAGGUUAAUGCCACAAACGUAUAAGGAUGAAAUGAUUAAUACAGUUAAGGUUAUUGACUCUAGUUACAUAUUUAUUUUUAAUAUUCAAAUGUGUGGAGUUAGUUGUUGAUAUUAUCUGGUUUGUAUAGACCAAAUUUGAGUUACCGCCAGGACAAGAGCCUUACAUAUGGAAAUCAAUUAACAAGAAAUGACAGAAAAGUAACGAAUUAGUACUCCGUCUACUAACAAUAAAAAAAAUUGUAUAUUUUAGUGUUCAGACUGUCUCGUUCUUAAAUAUUUAGACUUUAUUCUUCAAAAUACUCUACGACAUUGUAAUAUUGACAAGUUAUGAAAAAUUAUGGUUAUUAAUGUGUUUUUUUAUUUUCAUUAUUUUAGAAAACAAGUGAAAAGUAUCGGGACACUCGUGGUGAAUUGAAAUUGUUUCACCGUAUGGGGAAAAAUGUUUCGCUCGAGUCAAAGAAAAACUGGUAUCCUCUCUUUUGGAUUAAUUAUUAUUAACUGAUUUAUUCCGUUGGAACUUGUAAUAUGACCUCAUUUUUAUGCAGAAGAAGAUUCUUGAUAGAUAUCCUACAAGAGCCGAGUUAUUCAAAGAAUGCUAUUAUAAGGAAGAUGGUUCAUCUAGAAGUUCAAAGUUGCUAGAAACCAUUGUAAGUUUAAAUUUAUGUUAGAUCUCACUAUAAAUUUUAUGUCCUUGUUUAUUUUACAAUAUAAUCUCAAGCUUUAUUGUUGAUUAAAUAUUAUAUUAAAUUAUUACAGGAACAAUUGCAAGAAAUAGAAGAAGACGAAACUCAGAAUUCAGAUGAUGAUCCUACUCCUACUCCUGAUGAUGCAUUUGCAAAAGUAUUGGGUACGGAUAAGCAUGGAUAUGUGCGUAUGUAUGGUAUGGGAGUGAAACCAGCUGAUAUCUACGACACGAUUCCAAGUCGUGACGCAAGUUAUAGAUUGGCGAUGGAGUAUAAAGACAAGUAUUUGAAAACAAAAGGCCAAUAUGAUGCACUGAAUGAGAAGGUGGAUAACCUAGCAGCAGCAGUUCAUGGACGAGCACAACCUAGUGCACAAAAUGUUCCCGUUACUUCUCAAAGCAACCAACGCCCGUCUACAUCAAUUUCUCAACCAGACAGAUUCGGGUAAUUUACUUGGAGCUUGUUAACUCAUUUAAAUAAAAAUUGUUAUGAAUAUUUCAUUACAAAAACUAUAAGCACGCUUAAAAGUUUGGGAAAUAUCAAUGAGAUUGUUGCAAGUGGAUAUAUUUGUAAUAUUGGUUCUAUUAGAGUAAACGGUGAGGAAUUGGGACCUGAAUGGUGUGAAAUAACUAUUCAGUCUGAUAUUAAGAAAGAUGUGCGCUUGCUUAAACCUUAUGAUCACAUACAGACCAUCGGAGAUUCUAUUAGAGCACCUGUUGCUUGGCUGUUAUCCUUGGUAUGUAGUAAUAAAUUUGAUUAUGUGAAUAAUUGAAUUUAGUCAAAUAUCGUAUUGAAGGAUUGAAGUUUUCUUUAAUCAUUAUAGAAUUGUUGGUAACUUAGAAUUUACAUUUUUGAAUACUUUAUCGCUUUGAUUUACCUAAAAUGAAAUAUUAAUAUGUAUUUUCUGUUUUAUAGGUUGUUUUGGAUGAAAAUGAAUUUUAAUGCUUUAGCAUAACAGGUUUACUUUUUUACAACGUUACUCUAUCUUACUGUUGCAGAAUUUUGAAGUACAUUAUUCAUAUUCUAACAUUUCUAAUUCAAAAUUUACAGAUAUAUCAAGAGAGAUGCAUAGAGAAGACAUGGCAUGCUUAGAGAAAAUGCAGUUCUGAACCAUCAAUUAUGCAGUGUAUGAGUAAAAAACAAACAACUACUCUAUCAUCAAUCAUAGAACUUUAUUGUUUAUUAGUUUAUAGUGUAGCAUAAGAGACAUAGAUAAAUUUCCAUUGUGUUUGCUAGUUGCAGGAUAGCAGAUUAUUUAUUUCAUACUAUUUUUAAAUUCAUAAAUGAGAUUUGACUUUGUUG